This 433-nucleotide ribosomal RNA is filed under the name uncultured bacterium. Its description in RNAcentral is "partial 16S ribosomal RNA". It matches the Rfam family "Bacterial small subunit ribosomal RNA", at positions 29 to 507 of the family's 1533-position model. The record is from RNAcentral.
AACGAACGCUGGCGGCAGGCCUAACACAUGCAAGUCGAGCGGAGCUUUCGGGGUCAGCGGCGGACGGGUGAGUAACGCGUGGGAAUAUGCCCUUCUCUACGGAAUCGUCCUGGGAAACUGGGGGUAAUACCGGAUACGCCCUUGGGGGGAAAGAUUUAUCGGGGAAGGAUUAGCCCGCGUUGGAUUAGGUAGUUGGUGGGGUAAUGGCCUACCAAGCCGACGAUCCAUAGCUGGUUUGAGAGGAUGAUCAGCCACACUGGGACUGAGACACGGCCCAGACUCCUACGGGAGGCAGCAGUGGGGAAUCUUAGACAAUGGGGGCAACCCUGAUCUAGCCAUGCCGCGUGAGUGAUGAAGGCCUUAGGGUUGUAAAGCUCUUUCAGCUGGGAAGAUAAUGACGGUACCAGCAGAAGAAGCCCCGGCUAACUCCGUG